This 547-nucleotide ribosomal RNA is filed under the name Cherax crassimanus. RNAcentral's name for it is "partial 16S ribosomal RNA". It matches the Rfam family "Bacterial large subunit ribosomal RNA", at positions 1824 to 2629 of the family's 2925-position model. Lineage: Eukaryota; Metazoa; Arthropoda; Malacostraca; Decapoda; Parastacidae. The record is from RNAcentral.
CAACAUGUCUGUAUGAUAGUUAUAUAGAGUCUGGCCUGCCCAUUGGGAACUGAAAGGCCGCGGUAUUAUGACCGUGCGAAGGUAGCAUAAUCAUUAGUCUUUUAAUUGAGGGCUGGAAUGAAGGGUUGGACGAGAAAUAAGCUGUCUUUACCUUAAGAAUUGAAUUUAACUUUUAAGUGAGAGGGCUUAAAUGGAUUGAAGGGACGAUAAGACCCUAUAAAGUUUAUAUACCGAACUAAUUAAAGAUAAUUAAGAAGGGUAAAGUUUAUUAUUAGAGAGGUAUUUAGUUGGGGCGACUAGGAUAUAAAUUAAUUUAACUGUUUUAAAUUAAAGUCAAAAAUAUUUGAGUUUGUGAUCCUUUUUUAGGAUUAGAGAAUAAGUUACUUUAGGGAUAACAGCGUAAUUUUUUUUGAGAGUUCUUAUCGACAAAAGAGUUUGCGACCUCGAUGUUGAAUUAAAAGUUUCUUUGUAGUGCAGCAAUUACAAGAGAAGGUCUGUUCGACCUUUAAAUUUUUACAUGAUUUGAGUUCAGACCGGCGAAAGCCAG